Long non-coding RNA from Bos taurus (domestic cattle), 3360 nucleotides. NCBI's taxonomy places the organism in Eukaryota, Metazoa, Chordata, Mammalia, Artiodactyla, Bovidae. The record is from Ensembl.
GCCUUUGGAAAGCAACCACCAACCUCGCUGUCAGCGCCUGGGCCUCGUGGCCCCAGGCUGACCUCCACUCCGUGACCUUGGCUCCGUCCUUGCUGCUGAAGCCCUGCCCUGUCAGCAUGGCCUCGCCCCCCUCGUGUUGCCUGCCCCUGCCCCUCAUGGUGCCUGGCCCCACCCCCUCGUGGUGCCCAUCCUUUGCAGAACGGCUCUUGCAGGUCCCAGUGGGCAGGGCGGAGGCUGGGCAGUCCUGGGCCUCUUUGACCUGCAGGUGGCUGUCCCUGAGAGCCUGCAGGUGACGAGGACACCACAGAGACGGAAGUGGUGGCACCUCAGCAUCUGCAGAGGCCCCACCGGAGGAAUAGUAGUCGUUCCCCCUUGUCUGCCACUUGGAGCAGCUGGGUCCUCCCACCAGGGGUCGGGACCAAUCGGUUGCACCUACGUUCAUCACCCGCGCACUUGGGCAGAGCAAGAAGUAGGGCUGUCCAUCCUGUGCGUACGAGAACUGAAAGGCCCUUGUGAAGCGUCAGAAGGCAGAGUCCUUCGUCAUACGUGUAGUUACUCCCCUCGUGUGUGCUGGGACUUACCAACCCUUCCGACCUGGUUUUCAGAAAGUGACUCAUAUUUUCCACUCGUAUUUCAUUUGUUUACAUCAGCGGUUCUCAAGCUGUGGUCCGAGGAUGCUGGCGACCCUCAAGACCCUUUCAAGAGACCCACCAGGCAAAACUAAGACUCAUGACCAUACCAACGUCGUUCACUCUUUACCUUCUCAUUUCCUCUCGAAAGUACAAAUGAUGAAUUCUAGAGGCUGAAGCCUGCUCUGAUAGCUGAUGGACUCACGCUUGUGCAUUCAUGGGCUUUGAAAGUCUUUCAACCUUAAUUUCUCCUGUAGGGAAGCCUGGUGUUCUGCAGGCCAUGGGCUCGCAGAGUUGGACACAACUGAGCGACUGAACAACAACAAAUACUGAUAGAUGUGAACCAUAUAAACAAAAGCUCUUUGGGAAUAUUCAAUAAUUUUUAAGAGUGCAAAGGAGUCUGGCUACAAACAGUUUGAGAACUGCUAGUUUCUAUAUUUAUUAAAUCACACAUUUCUGAUAUCAAGCACAAUUGGCAUAAGAAAGACUUGGGAAUAAGCGUAACUGACUUGCAAUAAAUAAACACAGAGUUGACUGGAGGGCAUUUUGCAGAAAGGCCAAGAGCACUAAGCCUGCCCUGAGCAUCGGCUAGGAUGCUGCGGAAUGAGGAGAUGGGCAUCUGUCUGCGCGGAGGCAGACGAGAGGCAUCCACGGUACCCGAGGCGACGGAGUGACAGCGACGUUGCUGUUACGGAACACGUGCUGCGCGCCAGGGCCUGUGCUCAGUGUCUCCGUGGAGCCUCACCACCACCCUGAGAGAGGGCUUCUGCUUAUACAGGGGAUCGAACAGGAGGGACCGGCUGCUCCAGGGGCCCUUCCAUCUCAUGGUCUGAAGCUUCCUCAGAGCCCAGGAAUCCUGGGUUGCCCCCAUCCUGCCAGUUCUGAGACAGUGGAUCCUGGGGACACACAGGCUGUUCCUUCCUCCACGCUUAGAUACCAGCCGUGGAGUGAUGUUCCCGAGAGGGAGGCCGAGAGUGCCUGAACUGGGAGUUUGGUGAUCUGGACGAAUCUGAGCAAGUGGUUUGACUUCUCCGAACCCCGUUUUCCCCAACUUCUGAACAGUGUGAGGUACCUGGAGGAUUGCAAGGGGCCUUUUCAGAUCUGCAUUUCUCUUUGUUGCCUUUUGAGAACUCACCACAUUCCCCAAGCUGCUUCCAUGCCCAAUGUGUUUUGCAGACAAAGUGUCUGGAGAAGGGAUUGGGGCGGGUGUGGCAACCCCCUCCCCAUUCUUCAGGGAUUCCAGGAAGCCGGACCUGGGAGUAGGAGGCUGUCACUGACAUGCAGCCCUGUGCUGCCCCCGUGUGACCUAUGUGGGCACUGCACCAGGAAAGCCUUUCUCACCAACCUCUCUGAGGGCUACCCUGACAGAUGCCCAUCACCAACCUGGCUGGCCCGCUCAACCUCCCGCUGUCUUCCUGCUCACCUCUCACCUGGGCCAGGGAGCUCCUGGCGACCAAGGAUCAUCUUAGGAUGAGGACGCCCCAGGGUGGAAGGACUAAGAUCUCCGAUCAGCCAACCAGUGAGGCAUGUGCUGAAUGGAGCAAAGCUGGCUGGGCUGGACUUGGGUUCCAAUAGGCAGGUCUGGAGACAUGGCCACAAGGCAGCUCUGGGAGUGUCUAGGGUGUCAAUGACAAGCCAAGCUUGGCACAAUCCAGAAGAAUCGCUGUGCCCACGCUGCCAGGACAUUCAAAGACACACUGCCUAAUGAGCAAAGAAAAUGACCGCGCUUUACCAGCAGCUGCUGCAAGACACGUUUGAAGGGUCCAGUUUGUUAUCUUCCCUCCACUUCCUCACAGCUGUCUCCCUCGGGCUCCUCAAGCUCCUGCUCAUCUGUCCCAGUUGCUCCAGGAGGCUUCUCCCCCACCACCUGGAGACUGCCCCUUCCAGAGCGUGUGACCUUCUCAGCACCCCCAUCAGCUGAGAGGUGAUCUGGUCCAGGCUGCUCGCAUUUCAGUGGCCAGAACUCGUCACGUGCCCCCUCCAGCCAUGGGACAGGCAGUCUGCCAGGAGCUGGAAGGAGAAUUGAUGUCAAGGGUCAUCUCUAGUGCUCCCAGCUCCCUCAGAACCCCCACGGGUUCCAGUCUGGCCCUUCUUAGUCAUUUUCCCACCUCUCAGUCACUUUCGGAUUUUCUGCCUCUUUGUACCUGCACUGCAUUCUGUGAAAUUCCCUCCCAUUUAUGUCUCAGUUCACCAAAUCUUUCUACUUCUCUAUAUCACCAACCCUGGUCUCGAAAUUAUUUUCAUUUUUAAAUGACAUUUUUGGGUCAUUUUCAAUUGUAGAAUUUCAGUUUGGUUCAUUUUCAAGUCUGUAUUUUUUUCACAAAACUUUGUUUUUUAAAUAUGGGUUUUGUUCCUUCUUUAUGUCUUUAAUCAUUCUAAACAUGAUUUAUCAUUUCAUUUGAACUGUUCUGUUGUUAUAAGUGCUUGGAGGAUUAAUCAUUCUGUUUUUUUUUUUUUUUAAUCUGCUGGCUUCCCUUGUGAAUUGUUUCCAUGUGUAGUUUGUUAUUUUAAAAAAUCAUUAUGAGUUUUCUUGGGGUAUGUCACCAUUUUUUUCCCUAGGAGAUUCCCACGUGCUCUUGGAUUGGAGACCCUUGCAGAAAGGGCUUUCAUUUUUGCUUUGGUCUGAAACCAAAGGUCACUUCUCUGGAAACAAAGUUUGCAAUCACUUUUGGACUUGGGAUGCCCUUGCUUUAUAGGAGGUAUAAAUUAAAGCUGUCUAUGUGAUUGGGAA